CUCAGCUGUCUUUAUACCUGUCUCCGCGUGGGUAAAAGGAGAUGCUUUCAUUGAUGGCUAUUACGGAAACGCUUGGGAACUGAAGAUCAGCCCCGAGGACUCGCUGUGCUUUUCUCCCUGCCACCCCCUUCCCCUCCCUCCUGCCAGAAACCAUCUGACUUCCAAACUUGGCUGUCUGAAAAAGAAUGUUCUCUGAUUGGCAUUCCUGGAAGCAGAAAGCAAGGCAGCUCGAGUUGUAUUCUGUUACUCAGCGUGAAAAACUUCCCAGGAAGAAAUGGUCAUGCUGCCUCUAAUAUUCUGCACGGCAACUAUGAGGUCUGUGGAUUUUCUGUGAGAAAAAACCUUGCUCAUAGGAAACGUGAAAACAAACAAACAAACUGCUUUCAGCUGUCCUAUAUUUUGUAUUGCAGACAGCAGAAGAGGGUGCAAGAAAUGUUUCUAUCUCCGCGUCAAGUCUUCUUGUCCAAAACUGUCUUGUAAACUUUGAUGAGGACUGGGGGAAAAAAAAAAAGUUUGUGUGUGUGUGUGUGUGUGUGUGUGUGGCCAUGUACAAUACAACCCCACACCCCAUAGUCACACACACAUGUCUGAACAAAGGAAAACCGAGUGAAUGGAAAUGAAGGGAAAAACACAUUUUCUCACACAGGAACUGACAAGAAUUAAUAUUGUGGAGUUCCCUUCAAAUCAUGACUCCUAAAAUUGUGUUUCAUAUUUAUUUUGUGGUCACUGGGGUCAAAAGAUCUGCUGUGCUGAAGACAUGUUACCUCACCGUGUUCUCAACAGCGAGUGUAUUACAUGCCACGUUAUGGACCAGACCGACUUCUUGAAAGGCUUGAUAGAGGAUUUAUGUUAAUAAUUGCAGCAAUCAGACAAACCACAACCCCGGCGUCUUGGGGUUUCCAGAUCUCAUCUGGCUGUCACUGCCAACUCUAGGCAACCGUCAGCUGGCUGGGCUCAGGGUGGUGGUGUGGCUGCAGCUGCUCCCUGCAACUUGUGCAGAAGUCUCGAAAAUACCUAACGGCAGGAGGUUGACUCCAAAGAGAAAGCUUUCUCUUUGUUUGUGGUUGGUUUUAAAUGUUCUGUUCUAGGUGAUCUUGUACCACAUCUGAAGAAGCCCAUUUUAGGGAACCUGAUGAACUGGCAUCAUAUUACUAAUUUAUUUCUUUGAUAUUCUCAUGCCCCAUCUAGGUUGGCAUGCUACCAACCUGCUCACUCCUUAUUCCAUUACUAGAUGUCCUUUAGAAAAAAAGAUUAAAAGAAGGAGGGAGAGGAGGAAGAAACUUUCCUUAUGCUUAUUCCCAAGCUGAUUAACUAAGAGACAUUUCAGGCUCUGUGUACUGUUGAUAGAUAAGGGCAUCUGAAUGACUUCAGAAAUAAAUAGAAAUAACCAGUCACCCAGAGAGCACACAUCUCUGUCUUUGUGAUUCUUCUUUCCUCUAUCAAAAG
Molecule: long non-coding RNA, 1446 nt
Organism: Bos taurus (domestic cattle)
Lineage: Eukaryota; Metazoa; Chordata; Mammalia; Artiodactyla; Bovidae
Source: Ensembl